CCGGGUGAGUAACACGUAUCCAACCUGCCGUCUACUCUUGGACAGCCUUCUGAAAGGAAGAUUAAUACAAGAUGGCAUCAUGAGUCCGCAUGUUCACAUGAUUAAAGGUAUUCCGGUAGACGAUGGGGAUGCGUUCCAUUAGAUAGUAGGCGGGGUAACGGCCCACCUAGUCUUCGAUGGAUAGGAGUUCUGAGAGGAAGGUCCCCCACAUUGGAACUGAGACACGGUCCAA
This 232-nucleotide ribosomal RNA is filed under the name uncultured bacterium. RNAcentral's name for it is "partial 16S ribosomal RNA". It matches the Rfam family "Bacterial small subunit ribosomal RNA", at positions 103 to 334 of the family's 1533-position model. The record is from RNAcentral.